AAUCAUGAAAAGUUCUUCCCACUCCCUCGACUGAUUCAUCAGAUAUGAGCAGAACAUAAAGAUAGGCUGUUAGGCAUUCUUAAGCUUUUGUUGGGAUACGCACGCUAGAAUCUGAAUCUUUAGGCGCAUAUAAACCAGAGUAAAAAAAACAUCGAACUCCAAAGCUGAACAAUAAAGUGACUACACAAAUUUUACGCAGAAUAAAUUCGUGACACCUUCUAGUUAAGUUAUAAAUAUCAAUAUACAUAUAUAUACGUAUAUAUGUGUAAAACAACAAUAAAAUCCUAUUUGACAGCAGUUCAGAAAGUUGAGGCAGCACCCGUGAACUUAUUAGCGAACCAGGUCUAAAUAUAACCCGAAUGAUUCGAGUCAAUGAUUCAUAUCGAGAUAAACGAAAUUCCCAUCUCUUAUACAUAGCAAACAUGUACAGAAAACAGAAAUGCGGAGAGUAAUGUGUAUAAUAUGGACUCGCAGAUAUUCAAUUAAAAACGUUUACCAUUAAAAUACCAGUUAAUGAAAGCAGCAAAGGAUACAUCAGAUAAUUGGCAAUAAUUAUGAAAUUAAUUAAUUUUAUAAAAAUUGGUUUACUGAACACUUCAACAGAGUGCUCUAGUUCUGCAGCCCUUCUCCUUCUGGCAUACAUUGUAACGUACACUGUAAUGCCAACAAUAAACUUCUUACGUAUA
This is a long non-coding RNA of Hermetia illucens (black soldier fly), 686 nucleotides long. RefSeq lists it as uncharacterized. The record is from RefSeq and is a predicted model, not a curated record. NCBI's taxonomy places the organism in Eukaryota, Metazoa, Arthropoda, Insecta, Diptera, Stratiomyidae. The transcript is spliced from 2 exons.